AGUGAACGCUGGCGGUAGGCCUAACACAUGCAAGUCGAACGGCAGCACAGUAAGAGCUUGCUCUUACGGGUGGCGAGUGGCGGACGGGUGAGGAAUACAUCGGAAUCUACUUUUUCGUGGGGGUUAAGGAAGGGAAACUUACGCUAAUACCGCAUAGGCCGUAGGGUGGAAGGAAUGGGAUCUUGGGACCUGGGGGGUUUGAACGAGCGGCUGUUGGUUUGGUUGGUGGGCGGGGUAAAGGCCAACAAAGGCGCCGAUCCGUGGCUGGUCUGAGAGGAUGAUCAGCCACACUGGAACUGAGACACGGUCCAGACUCCUACGGGAGGCAGCAGUGGGGAAUAUUGGACAAUGGGCGCAAGCCUGAUCCAGCCAUACCGCGUGGGUGAAGAAGGCCUUCGGGUUGUAAAGCCCUUUUGUUGGGAAAGAAAAGCAGCAGGUUAAUACCCCGCUGUUCUGACGGUACCCAAAGAAUAAGCACCGGCUAACUUCGUG
RNAcentral lists this ribosomal RNA (492 nucleotides) under uncultured bacterium. RNAcentral's name for it is "partial 16S ribosomal RNA". It matches the Rfam family "Bacterial small subunit ribosomal RNA", at positions 29 to 507 of the family's 1533-position model. The record is from RNAcentral.